GGGGAUGUAGCUCAGUUGGCUAGAGCGCUUGACUGGCAGUCAAGAGGUCGUGGGUUCGAAUCCCAUCUUCUCCACUA
RNAcentral lists this transfer RNA (77 nucleotides) under Flavobacteriales bacterium. RNAcentral's name for it is "tRNA-Ala". It matches the Rfam family "tRNA". From Rfam's summary of the family: Transfer RNA (tRNA) molecules are approximately 80 nucleotides in length. Their secondary structure includes four short double-helical elements and three loops (D, anti-codon, and T loops). Lineage: Bacteria; Pseudomonadati; Bacteroidota; Flavobacteriia; Flavobacteriales. RNAcentral also lists the same sequence under 1 other name. The record is from RNAcentral.